Molecule: ribosomal RNA, 497 nt
Filed under: uncultured bacterium
Lineage: Bacteria
Description: partial 16S ribosomal RNA
Rfam family: Bacterial small subunit ribosomal RNA
Source: RNAcentral
GAUGAACGCUGGCGGCGUGCCUAAUACAUGCAAGUCGAGCGAACGGACGAGAAGCUUGCUUCUCUGACGUUAGCGGCGGACGGGUGAGUAACACGUGGAUAACCUACCUAUAAGACUGGGAUAACUUCGGGAAACCGUAGCUAAUACCGGAUAAUAUUUUGAACCGCAUGGUUCAAAAGUGAAAGACGGUCUUGCUGUCACUUAUAGAUGGAUCCGCGCUGCAUUAGCUAGUUGGUAAGGUAACGGCUUACCAAGGCAACGAUGCAUAGCCGACCUGAGAGGGUGAUCGGCCACACUGGAACUGAGACACGGUCCAGACUCCUACGGGAGGCAGCAGUAGGGAAUCUUCCGCAAUGGGCGAAAGCCUGACGGAGCAACGCCGCGUGAGUGAUGAAGGUCUUCGGAUCGUAAAACUCUGUUAUUAGGGAAGAACAUAUGUGUAAGUAACUAUGCACAUCUUGACGGUACCUAAUCAGAAAGCCACGGCUAACUACGUG